UGCAGCAGAUUGACCAUCUAACCUCCUCCAUUGACCUGAAUGCAGAGGAGGAGGAGGAGGAAGGAGACGACAGCAGCUCAAACUCAGGCUCAGUCUCCAGCGAAGUGACAGCAAUCAGCACCAAUCACAGAGCUCCAGAUCCCGGAGACCCGCCCUCCUGCAGGGGAGACCCUCACCCUCACAUCAGGAGUAAAUCUCCCCCUAACAUGCAGCUGUGCCCGGUGAACUCUGCCUUUUCAGACAGGGGUCGAACUCUAAGGUUUACCUGUAGUUUGGGUUUUUCUCCCAGACAAGGUGGGCCGCUACAGAACAAUAAUCCCCCUCAAAACGUCCAUUUGUCCCCGCAAAGAAGCCUCCCUGUUCGGCCUCCGACUCCAGGACUCUCCCCUCUUACAGUUAACCUCCAUCACCAGAACAGCCCUGGAUCUCACUCCCCAAAUCCUUCUCCUGUUUCUCCGAACCCACCCCCCACUCUGAGCCCAUCUGUCGUUGAAAAGGACAAACUUGGGACCCCACAAAGUGACCAUCCGUCUGCCGGUCUGCACUCAAAAUCUGCAACUCAACCUCCAUCUGCUCCCGCAACACAGGCUAAACCUCCCAAAGGUCGCAGGGGUCGCAAACCUCCUCCGUACCCCCACCUCAGACCCUCCGAACCCGCGCAGAAAAAAGUGCCGGAGCCCCGCACAGCUCCCCCGUACCCUGAGAAAAGGCUCUCGACCACCGUGUGAGACAACGGGAGAGAGGGAGGGAGGCUGAUCGGCAAAGAAAAGCUGUGACAGUGGAGGUGAUUCAAGGCUCGCCACGUUUUCUCCAAGGUGACAGGACGCAGACGCAACUCAGGCUUCUGGGAGCCUCAAAAGGAGAAACAAAACGUCCCCGGCUCGAGACAGACGAGAGGAUCCAAACUCCAACUAAAAGGGCACCGAGCCGAAGAGGAGGAGGAAGAUGAGGAUGAGGAACAUGUGCUCCGGCUAAUGACAGAGUUUCAGGCGUGCCCUUGCUGAAGAAGGAGGCGUGUCGAGGUCCAUCAGAGAGCGAGCUGCAGACAUUAACCUUCCUCCUUCAUUAUGUGCACAGACAGGUCCACCUCCAGGAGAAAUAAAAU
Notothenia coriiceps (black rockcod) is the source of this 1105-nucleotide long non-coding RNA. RefSeq lists it as uncharacterized. The record is from RefSeq and is a predicted model, not a curated record. Lineage: Eukaryota; Metazoa; Chordata; Actinopteri; Perciformes; Nototheniidae. The transcript has 3 exons.